This 1344-nucleotide long non-coding RNA is filed under the name Zostera marina. Its description in RNAcentral is "long non-coding RNA (ZMAR_LNC001648)". Lineage: Eukaryota; Viridiplantae; Streptophyta; Magnoliopsida; Alismatales; Zosteraceae. The record is from RNAcentral.
CCGUAUAUAAUUGACCCAUUAGCUUUAUUUGAUUUAUUGAAACUUUUGUGCUUUAACUCUUCAGCUUCUUUUAUAACAAAACUUGAGUGUUGGGUAAAUUGUCUGUGCUGUAAUACUUAAACAUAAAUUGUUAACAAGUACAAAACUUAUUAGAAAUUAUAUCCAAGUCCUAUGUUUAGUUGAAUAAAAUUUACAGAUCACAGUCUGUCUCAACUUAGUUCUUUGAUCUAAUUAAAUCUUUUACUUAAAUCUAAUUUAAUAACCUUUGACCAAGCUUGUGGUGCAUGCAAUACUUCAGUGAAGACUCGAUCCCUAUCUGAUACGUUCAACUCUGGAACACCGUGGAGUCAGAUCACGUUGUGGAUGAAAAACCCACAACCGCCGACGCCGUGUAAUUAGCUCCUAGUGCGUCCAUGUGCAAGGAUUUUGUUAACCUAUCUACCAACAUAACCAAUACCGACUUACUCUUGACCACCGACAUUCCAAUGAUGAAAUCCAUCGUCACGUGCCGGUAUACCGCCGGCGGUAUCAGUAGACGUACUAGCAACCCUUGACUUCUAGUAGUAGGUACUAGCAGCUCUUGAGUUUGAUAGACUGCUUGUUGGCCCGAACUGAUUGAUUAUGUAUGGGAACCUCGACAAUAGAGUUAGGUUUUCCCUUAACAAUUAUAGCAAUAUUCCUCGCCAUGUAUGCCACUUUGUCCGAGAUAUCGUCUAGCUCCACCAGAUCGUCAUCUCUAACGAAGUCUCCGUCUAUCUCCACUUUUAGCGUGCCUACUUCAAAGUUUUCCUUGGAGUUCUUCAGGUAAGCGUCUACAUCUUUAAGCAUCGAUCGCUUCUUUAAUUUGUCUAUGCUCGUAACACCUUGUCUGAUUUCGAUAAAGGAGGAGGAAGCCGGUGAUUGCUAAAAAGAGAAAGUUGAAGAAACUAGUAAGUCUGGUGGCGUGUGAGUCGACGUAGUGUGUGGAGAACGGAGCGGAUGAUGAAAGGUCGCGAAGGGAGAGAGACACGUUUGGGAAACCUUAAGGUUUUGCCUUUGUAUUUAGAUUUAAUAAAAGUUACUUUAAAAUAAUUACAAUGGUACUAUGUAUACUAAGAUUAAACUAUUGAGCCUUGAGUAUGAGUCGGUAUUGCUUUCAUCAAAGGUGGUCGGUCACCAUUGUGAUCCUCCCUCCAUUCACCCCUAAUUGUAAAGAUGUUUCCAUGGAGUGUCAUAAUGUUAUUUGGGCCUUGUGGGACUAUUAUUAAUUAUAUAACUUUAUUUUUUGUUAAUUCAGUUGUGGGACUAUUAUUAUUUGUGGCCUUGUGGCCGUAUAGAUAUGGGCGACCCGGACCUGUACCGUUG